UUUGAACGAGUGGCGGACGGGUGAGUAACACGUGGGUAACCUGCCCUUAAGUGGGGGAUAACAUUUGGAAACAGAUGCUAAUACCGCAUAAAUCCAAGAACCGCAUGGUUCUUGGCUGAAAGAUGGCGUAAGCUAUCGCUUUUGGAUGGACCCGCGGCGUAUUAGCUAGUUGGUGAGGUAACGGCUCACCAAGGCAAUGAUACGUAGCCGAACUGAGAGGUUGAUCGGCCACAUUGGGACUGAGACACGGCCCAAACUCCUACGGGAGGCAGCAGUAGGGAAUCUUCCACAAUGGACGCAAGUCUGAUGGAGCAACGCCGCGUGAGUGAAGAAGGCUUUCGGGUCGUAAAACUCUGUUGUUGGAGAAGAAUGGUCGGCAGAGUAACUGUUGUCGGCGUGACGGUAUCCAACCAGAAAGCCACGGCUAACUACGUGCCAGCAGCCGCGGUAAUACGUAGGUGGCAAGCGUUAUCCGGAUUUAUUGGGCGUAAAGCGAGCGCAGGCGGUUUUUUAAGUCUGAUGUGAAAGCCCUCGGCUUAACCGAGGAAGUGCAUCGGAAACUGGGAAACUUGAGUGCAGAAGAGGACAGUGGAACUCCAUGUGUAGCGGUGAAAUGCGUAGAUAUAUGGAAGAACACCAGUGGCGAAGGCGGCUGUCUGGUCUGUAACUGACGCUGAGGCUCGAAAGCAUGGGUAGCGAACAGGAUUAGAUACCCUGGUAGUCCAUGCCGUAAACGAUGAAUGCUAGGUGUUGGAGGGUUUCCGCCCUUCAGUGCCGCAGCUAACGCAUUAAGCAUUCCGCCUGGGGAGUACGACCGCAAGGUUGAAACUCAAAGGAAUUGACGGGGGCCCGCACAAGCGGUGGAGCAUGUGGUUUAAUUCGAAGCAACGCGAAGAACCUUACCAGGUCUUGACAUCUUUUGAUCACCUGAGAGAUCAGGUUUCCCCUUCGGGGGCAAAAUGACAGGUGGUGCAUGGUUGUCGUCAGCUCGUGUCGUGAGAUGUUGGGUUAAGUCCCGCAACGAGCGCAACCCUUAUGACUAGUUGCCAGCAUUUAGUUGGGCACUCUAGUAAGACUGCCGGUGACAAACCGGAGGAAGGUGGGGAUGACGUCAAAUCAUCAUGCCCCUUAUGACCUGGGCUACACACGUGCUACAAUGGAUGGUACAACGAGUUGCGAGACCGCGAGGUCAAGCUAAUCUCUUAAAGCCAUUCUCAGUUCGGACUGUAGGCUGCAACUCGCCUACACGAAGUCGGAAUCGCUAGUAAUCGCGGAUCAGCACGCCGCGGUGAAUACGUUCCCGGGCCUUGUACACACCGCCCGUCACACCAUGAGAGUUUGUAACACCCGAAGCCGGUGGCGUAACCCUUUUAGGGAGCGAGCCGUCUAAGGU
This 1393-nucleotide ribosomal RNA is filed under the name Lactobacillus sp. Sc9. RNAcentral describes it as "bacterial SSU rRNA". It matches the Rfam family "Bacterial small subunit ribosomal RNA", at positions 86 to 1463 of the family's 1533-position model. Lineage: Bacteria; Bacillati; Bacillota; Bacilli; Lactobacillales; Lactobacillaceae. The record is from RNAcentral.